Long non-coding RNA from Harmonia axyridis, 1220 nucleotides. RefSeq lists it as uncharacterized. Lineage: Eukaryota; Metazoa; Arthropoda; Insecta; Coleoptera; Coccinellidae. The transcript is spliced from 3 exons. The record is from RefSeq and is a predicted model, not a curated record.
GUGUUAAUAAUACAUAAAAAUAUAAGUGAAAUUGAUUUUGGUGAGCAAUAAUGAACCUAAAAAAUGAUAAGAAAAACACAUAUUUUCUUUUGAAAUAACUUUUGUUUCAACAUUCAAAAAUGGAUGAGGUAUACUAGCAAUUAAACACCUGGGAUUGCCCCAGAUAGCAAGGUUCUCGUGACCGACACAACAUGGGAAUAAUCGUUAACAGUUUACGUUAUAUGUGUGAUAUAGAAUAAGCCAAAAAUUAUUUAAUGGAUAUAAAUGUAUUUUACAAAAUAUAAUUCCUUUGAGAGGUGUCUAAUGAACUGAAAUAUUUUGAUCACGGAUUUCGUUUUGAAUAAGAUGAAUUUUUGAAAAAUUCAAAUUAUCCAGUUCAGAAUAAACCAUUCAUAAUCUGAAUUAUAUUUGCAUGUACUAGAUCUGAGUAUAUUAUACCGAAAUAUACUAAAACGCGAGUUCUUUUCCCUGCAUCUUCGUCAACAUGAUUCGACUCGUUUGAUAUGCCGCGCCAAUGAAAACGUUCCUAUCCACCUGUUGGCAGUAUUUAUCGAAAUACAAGUAUAUAAAUGCUUUCAUCCACUAGAUUCAAGAAUAUUAUUCGAAGAUAUACUAAAAUGCGCCCUCUGUGCAGUUUGCAUUAGAAAAUAUCUCUUUCGAUCCCCUUCAGUCUCAUUUAGGUGAUAGGACUGAUCGGUCUACGGAAGUUUUAAUUGUGUUAUAAGUGUUAGAUACUGAAUACAUACUGCAAAAAGCAAAAUUUAAUUAGGAAUUAGGGAUAAAUGGAGUGUCUGAGUGGAAAAUUUCAAGAAUAUGGAAAUUGUUCAUGAACAAUUGGGAGUUACGUUAUCAUUUGCUGAUGAAAAUGCAAAUCAAUAGAUAUCUAUCGAUAUGAGUGAGAUACAAUUUUGGAAUAAUUCUUCAGGACCAGAUCUCAAAUGAUAUUGGACAAAUCAUUCAAGAACAGAAAAAUAGAUCAACACAGAGGAAUCAAACCGCCAAGCCCAACUUGUUUUUGGUAUCAGGGGAAAAUCUAUUAUAGCCGAAAAGUUUCCAAAUUGUUGUAUAUAGAUGUAGAUGAACUUUUAAGUAUGUAUCUCGAAUUCUCUCCACCUAAAUAAUUUAUUCUUUAGGAGAUAACUAUGUUCCUUUAAUCAUUUGUAUAGUACAAUGUUUUAUCCUGUAUUUGUAUAAAUGUAAUACAAUUUUUUUCCAAUGUA